Molecule: ribosomal RNA, 466 nt
Filed under: uncultured bacterium
Lineage: Bacteria
Description: partial 16S ribosomal RNA
Rfam family: Bacterial small subunit ribosomal RNA
Source: RNAcentral
GACGAACGCUGGCGGCGUGCUUAACACAUGCAAGUCGAACGGAAAGGCCCUGCUUGCAGGGUACUCGAGUGGCGAACGGGUGAGUAACACGUGGGUGAUCUGCCCUGCACUUCGGGAUAAGCUUGGGAAACUGGGUCUAAUACCGGAUAGGAGCCAUCUUUAGUGUGGUGGUUGGAAAGUUUUUUCGGUGUAGGAUGAGCUCGCGGCCUAUCAGCUUGUUGGUGGGGUAAUGGCCUACCAAGGCGGCGACGGGUAGCCGGCCUGAGAGGGUGUACGGCCACAUUGGGACUGAGAUACGGGCCAGACUCCGACGGGAGGCAGCAGUGGGGAAUAUUGCACAAUGGGCGCAAGCCUGAGGCAGCGACGCCGCGUGGGGGAUGAAGGCCUUCGGGUUGUAAACUCCUUUCGCUAGGGACGAAGCUUUUUUGUGACGGUACCUAGAUAAGAAGCACCGGCUAACUACGUG